AUAGCGUAUAUUAAAGUUGUUGCAGUUAAAAAGCUCGUAGUUGGAUUUCAAGGGUCGCACCGGGGAUAACUCGCGUGCCCCCUACCAGUCAUAGACUGUUACUGUGAGAAAAUUAGAGUGUUUCAAGCAGGCUGUUGCAGGAAUACAUUAGCAUGGAAUAACGAAUGUGUCUAGAAUCUUGGUUAAUUCUAGAUUACGAUUAAUAGGGACAGUUGGGGGCAUUAGUAUUUAAUUGUCAGAGGUGAAAUUCUUGGAUUUGUUAAAGACUAACGUAUG
This 276-nucleotide ribosomal RNA is filed under the name uncultured eukaryote. RNAcentral describes it as "partial 18S ribosomal RNA". It matches the Rfam family "Eukaryotic small subunit ribosomal RNA", at positions 594 to 945 of the family's 1831-position model. The record is from RNAcentral.